Molecule: ribosomal RNA, 596 nt
Filed under: Phenacogrammus interruptus (Congo tetra)
Lineage: Eukaryota; Metazoa; Chordata; Actinopteri; Characiformes; Alestidae
Description: partial 16S large subunit ribosomal RNA
Rfam family: Bacterial large subunit ribosomal RNA
Source: RNAcentral
AAAAACAUCGCCUCCUGCUAACCCUUCAACGUAUAGGAGGUCUUACCUGCCCAGUGACAUUCGUGUUAAACGGCCGCGGUAUUUUGACCGUGCUAAGGUAGCGCAAUCACUUGUUUUUUAAAUGAAGACCUGUAUGAAUGGUGAAACGAGGGCUUAACUGUCUCCCCCUCCCAGUCAAUGAAACUGAUCUGUUCGUGCAGAAGCGAACAUAUACCUACAAGACGAGAAGACCCUUUGGAGCUUUAGACAAAGGCCAACUAUUCCCAACCCCUACAUUAAAUAGGACAAAACGAAAUACCACCUGACCAAAGUCUUCGGUUGGGGCGACCAUGGGGAAAAACAAAACCCCCACGUGGAAUAGACCAUUCUCUUUAUCCGAGAGAAAUAUCUCUAAGUCACAGAACAUCUGACCAUAAUGAUCCGGCCAAUCGGCCGAUUAACAAACCAAGUUACCCUAGGGAUAACAGCGCAAUCCCCUUCAAGAGUCCUUAUCGACAAGGGGGUUUACGACCUCGAUGUUGGAUCAGGACAUCCUAAUGGCGCAGCCGCUAUUAAGGGUUCGUUUGUUCAACGAUUAAAGUCCUACGUGAUCUGAG